UUUCCUAUACGAUAUCAAAACAUUACGUAGAAAAAAUUUGACUUAGAAUAAAAUUCAUAAACAAAUAAUUUUCCGAACUACAAAAUUGAAAUGAUUUAUAAGAUAAAAAUCUUCUGCUUGACUUUCCUGAGUAUUAAUGGAAAAAAAUAUUCUUGAAAUAACGGCAGAACAUACCUAAAAUAUCAGUGUCCUGUCCGUGAAUGUAUAUUAAAGGAAUCGACAUACAUAUAAACAAAGAACGAGUACUUGAGAAUUCUCUAAACUGGUAG
Long non-coding RNA from Bombus pascuorum, 269 nucleotides. RefSeq lists it as uncharacterized. NCBI's taxonomy places the organism in Eukaryota, Metazoa, Arthropoda, Insecta, Hymenoptera, Apidae. The transcript is spliced from 2 exons. The record is from RefSeq and is a predicted model, not a curated record.